Molecule: ribosomal RNA, 237 nt
Filed under: uncultured bacterium
Lineage: Bacteria
Description: partial 16S ribosomal RNA
Rfam family: Bacterial small subunit ribosomal RNA
Source: RNAcentral
CGAACGGGUGAGUAACGCGUGAGGAACCUGCCUCAAAGAGGGGGACAACAGUUGGAAACGACUGCUAAUACCGCAUAAGCCCACGGCUCGGCAUCGAGCAGAGGGAAAAGGAGCAAUCCGCUUUGAGAUGGCCUCGCGUCCGAUUAGCUAGUUGGCGAGGUAACGGCCCACCAAGGCAACGAUCGGUAGCCGGACUGGGAGGUUGAACGGCCACAUUGGGACUGAGACACGGCCCAG